Non-coding RNA from Physcomitrium patens, 1354 nucleotides. The record is from RefSeq and is a predicted model, not a curated record. NCBI's taxonomy places the organism in Eukaryota, Viridiplantae, Streptophyta, Bryopsida, Funariales, Funariaceae.
GUGUCAGACUUGCAGGGUAGUCCUUCAUGGCUGCGACUGUGGUCCGCAAUGUGUUUGUGUAUGGAUCAUUGCUCGCGCCCGAAGUGCUUACCGCGCUCUUGCACCGAGUUCCGCCUGCAUCACUUGCUGUCGUACAUGACUACUAGAAAUCAUCUUCUUCUUGAUUAAAGCGCUACAAUCCAUAUUAGGAGGUUUUGGUACCCCAACAAAAGAUUAGGGAAUUUCAAGGGCGAAUGCUGUGCUUCAAUGGCGGCCGUAGUUUGUCACUUGAAUUAUUGCUGCAAUAUCUCGGUGUUCAUCUAGGUUGCCAACUUAUGUAAAAGUUGUUGGCUCCACCCUUUUGUCAGGAUGCUAGGAUAGACAUCUUAUUGCUUCUCAAUAUUUCGACCUUUUGUUAAGUGGUGAAAUAUAUUUCAUUUCAGUACUUGACAGUAUUCUUGGGUCCGAAAUUGGUGGCAGCCAUCGGUUCAGCAUCAAGAACCGCAUCUAUCCGGCCGUAUUGCCCAGCAAAGGUGACAAAGUAUUUGGAAAGGUAUUGUUCGAUCUGAGCGACCAGGAGCUACAUAUUCUGGACGAAUUUGAAGAUAUUGAAUAUACCAGAUUGAUAGUAUCGCCACGCAUUCUGAAUACGCUUGGUGCUGAUGGAGAACCAGUGGUCGGUACACAAGUUGGCGAUGCACAGGAAUUGAUAGGCUCCAGGUGUUUGGAGAAAGUAGGGACUAGCCAGGCAGAUACCGUGGAAAUUGGAGACGAUGCUGUUGAAAUAUCCCCAGGUCACGCGGCUGGACUUGGACUUACGACGGAGGUGACAGCAUAUAUGUACAUUUGGGCCGACCAGGGAGAUCCUGAUCUUGUAGGAGACUGGGAAUAUGAGGUGUGGAGAGCCAAUCAUCUCAAAUUGUUUCUAGCAAAAUAUGUAGGUUUUAGUAAUAUUAGUAACAGCAUUGAUGCAGCGCCAUGAUUUUGAAGCAACUAUCAUGACGAAAUGUGGGUAACUUCUGCGUAUCUAUCUGUGUAUAUAGGCUACUAAGUACUAAGUUCAAGUACCCAUUAUGUAAGUUGUGCGGCCUGAUGGAAAUGUGUAGGAAUGGGCAAGGACCUAUUUGGAGGAUUACGUGAAGAUGUGUGAGGAAUUUGAAUCUGAGCUGAGCAAAAUUUGAGAUAUUGACAGUGUUGGCCAGUCAACUCACAGGACCAUCUGGCGUUUUUCUGUCUUGAAUCUGCUUUCAAGGCAAACAGAAAUAUGACAAAUUCAAUUUAAUUAGACAAAGCCAUUAUUUUUGAGUACUUGGAAGUUUUCCUAUGUGGAUUACCGUCCACGUUCAAUACGCACAAUUUAAGAGUAUUUUGUGUA